This 2921-nucleotide ribosomal RNA is filed under the name Staphylococcus aureus. Its description in RNAcentral is "23S ribosomal RNA". It matches the Rfam family "Bacterial large subunit ribosomal RNA". Lineage: Bacteria; Bacillati; Bacillota; Bacilli; Caryophanales; Staphylococcaceae. The record is from RNAcentral.
UUAAGUUAUUAAGGGCGCACGGUGGAUGCCUUGGCACUAGAAGCCGAUGAAGGACGUUACUAACGACGAUAUGCUUUGGGGAGCUGUAAGUAAGCUUUGAUCCAGAGAUUUCCGAAUGGGGAAACCCAGCAUGAGUUAUGUCAUGUUAUCGAUAUGUGAAUACAUAGCAUAUUAGAAGGCACACCCGGAGAACUGAAACAUCUUAGUACCCGGAGGAAGAGAAAGAAAAUUCGAUUCCCUUAGUAGCGGCGAGCGAAACGGGAAGAGCCCAAACCAACAAGCUUGCUUGUUGGGGUUGUAGGACACUCUAUACGGAGUUACAAAGGACGACAUUAGACGAAUCAUCUGGAAAGAUGAAUCAAAGAAGGUAAUAAUCCUGUAGUCGAAAAUGUUGUCUCUCUUGAGUGGAUCCUGAGUACGACGGAGCACGUGAAAUUCCGUCGGAAUCUGGGAGGACCAUCUCCUAAGGCUAAAUACUCUCUAGUGACCGAUAGUGAACCAGUACCGUGAGGGAAAGGUGAAAAGCACCCCGGAAGGGGAGUGAAAUAGAACCUGAAACCGUGUGCUUACAAGUAGUCAGAGCCCGUUAAUGGGUGAUGGCGUGCCUUUUGUAGAAUGAACCGGCGAGUUACGAUUUGAUGCAAGGUUAAGCAGUAAAUGUGGAGCCGUAGCGAAAGCGAGUCUGAAUAGGGCGUUUAGUAUUUGGUCGUAGACCCGAAACCAGGUGAUCUACCCUUGGUCAGGUUGAAGUUCAGGUAACACUGAAUGGAGGACCGAACCGACUUACGUUGAAAAGUGAGCGGAUGAACUGAGGGUAGCGGAGAAAUUCCAAUCGAACCUGGAGAUAGCUGGUUCUCUCCGAAAUAGCUUUAGGGCUAGCCUCAAGUGAUGAUUAUUGGAGGUAGAGCACUGUUUGGACGAGGGGCCCCUCUCGGGUUACCGAAUUCAGACAAACUCCGAAUGCCAAUUAAUUUAACUUGGGAGUCAGAACAUGGGUGAUAAGGUCCGUGUUCGAAAGGGAAACAGCCCAGACCACCAGCUAAGGUCCCAAAAUAUAUGUUAAGUGGAAAAGGAUGUGGCGUUGCCCAGACAACUAGGAUGUUGGCUUAGAAGCAGCCAUCAUUUAAAGAGUGCGUAAUAGCUCACUAGUCGAGUGACACUGCGCCGAAAAUGUACCGGGGCUAAACAUAUUACCGAAGCUGUGGAUUGUCCUUUGGACAAUGGUAGGAGAGCGUUCUAAGGGCGUUGAAGCAUGAUCGUAAGGACAUGUGGAGCGCUUAGAAGUGAGAAUGCCGGUGUGAGUAGCGAAAGACGGGUGAGAAUCCCGUCCACCGAUUGACUAAGGUUUCCAGAGGAAGGCUCGUCCGCUCUGGGUUAGUCGGGUCCUAAGCUGAGGCCGACAGGCGUAGGCGAUGGAUAACAGGUUGAUAUUCCUGUACCACCUAUAAUCGUUUUAAUCGAUGGGGGGACGCAGUAGGAUAGGCGAAGCGUGCGAUUGGAUUGCACGUCUAAGCAGUAAGGCUGAGUAUUAGGCAAAUCCGGUACUCGUUAAGGCUGAGCUGUGAUGGGGAGAAGACAUUGUGUCUUCGAGUCGUUGAUUUCACACUGCCGAGAAAAGCCUCUAGAUAGAAAAUAGGUGCCCGUACCGCAAACCGACACAGGUAGUCAAGAUGAGAAUUCUAAGGUGAGCGAGCGAACUCUCGUUAAGGAACUCGGCAAAAUGACCCCGUAACUUCGGGAGAAGGGGUGCUCUUUAGGGUUAACGCCCAGAAGAGCCGCAGUGAAUAGGCCCAAGCGACUGUUUAUCAAAAACACAGGUCUCUGCUAAACCGUAAGGUGAUGUAUAGGGGCUGACGCCUGCCCGGUGCUGGAAGGUUAAGAGGAGUGGUUAGCUUCUGCGAAGCUACGAAUCGAAGCCCCAGUAAACGGCGGCCGUAACUAUAACGGUCCUAAGGUAGCGAAAUUCCUUGUCGGGUAAGUUCCGACCCGCACGAAAGGCGUAACGAUUUGGGCACUGUCUCAACGAGAGACUCGGUGAAAUCAUAGUACCUGUGAAGAUGCAGGUUACCCGCGACAGGACGGAAAGACCCCGUGGAGCUUUACUGUAGCCUGAUAUUGAAAUUCGGCACAGCUUGUACAGGAUAGGUAGGAGCCUUUGAAACGUGAGCGCUAGCUUACGUGGAGGCGCUGGUGGGAUACUACCCUAGCUGUGUUGGCUUUCUAACCCGCACCACUUAUCGUGGUGGGAGACAGUGUCAGGCGGGCAGUUUGACUGGGGCGGUCGCCUCCUAAAAGGUAACGGAGGCGCUCAAAGGUUCCCUCAGAAUGGUUGGAAAUCAUUCAUAGAGUGUAAAGGCAUAAGGGAGCUUGACUGCGAGACCUACAAGUCGAGCAGGGUCGAAAGACGGACUUAGUGAUCCGGUGGUUCCGCAUGGAAGGGCCAUCGCUCAACGGAUAAAAGCUACCCCGGGGAUAACAGGCUUAUCUCCCCCAAGAGUUCACAUCGACGGGGAGGUUUGGCACCUCGAUGUCGGCUCAUCGCAUCCUGGGGCUGUAGUCGGUCCCAAGGGUUGGGCUGUUCGCCCAUUAAAGCGGUACGCGAGCUGGGUUCAGAACGUCGUGAGACAGUUCGGUCCCUAUCCGUCGUGGGCGUAGGAAAUUUGAGAGGAGCUGUCCUUAGUACGAGAGGACCGGGAUGGACAUACCUCUGGUGUACCAGUUGUCGUGCCAACGGCAUAGCUGGGUAGCUAUGUGUGGACGGGAUAAGUGCUGAAAGCAUCUAAGCAUGAAGCCCCCCUCAAGAUGAGAUUUCCCAACUUCGGUUAUAAGAUCCCUCAAAGAUGAUGAGGUUAAUAGGUUCGAGGUGGAAGCAUGGUGACAUGUGGAGCUGACGAAUACUAAUCGAUCGAAGACUUAAUCAA